CCCAUCCUGAUCAAAUAACACAGCAUCAUCUUGGAUAUGUGCGCCUCUGAAAAAAAGAAAAACAACAAAAAAAAGCCCUUUACUUAGUAUUGAUAUAUUUGAAGCUUGUGGUAUCCUAAUGCUACCUUGCCAAGUGAGAGCAUAAAAACAUUGGAAAUAUUUUCUAUUCAGAUAUAUUUCUACUGAGAUAGCAUUAAAAUAUGAUAUCAUUCUAGAAAGACUGAAUUUAACAGAAAAAUUAAGUUUCUGGGUGGAUCAGGGGUUACAAAGAGUUACUACAAAUAUGGGAUAAUAUUAUUAAGGAGCAGUUAUGAAGUGAUGCUCUGGCAUUCUUAAAUCAGUGUUAUGCUUACUAAUGUUGAGAGAGACCCAGCAUGAGUUUUGUGAUCAGUGAAAGGACUGGUGCAACAUAGAUCAAAUAACAUAUUUUAUAGUCUGCUAUUCCAUAGAUCCAACUCUGUGAACAAGAUACUUAAGUUGUGUCUGAUUUCAAUAUUGUUCUGAAAGAAUAAGGGUGAGGAAAUAAUAGCACUUUUGUAGUAGUAAUGGUAUUAGAAAUAUUAGAAGUAUUUAGAAGCAGUAACAGUAUUUUUGUUCGUGUCUGUAUGUAGAACAAAUGGGUGGAAACGAAGGAGUGAUCUAUGGUGCUGGAGAAGGUUUCACAUUAUGUGCUGAGCAGCACUCUAUGACGAUGUUUGCUAUUUGAAGGUAAUUCAUAGCACAGUACAGAUUUAGACUCAGUUCUAGUGUGAAUUUAGCUGGAUAGUGUGUACCUUUACUUGAGUAUAGUUUUACUAUUCAGUCUAAUUUUGUUUGUUUGCUUUCAGCUUUGCAUAAUUAAUUAAAAAGUCUGGUUAAUGCAAGAGAAACAGCAUGUCCAACUGUUUCUCACAGAUGUCAAUUGAAAUGAGCUAUCAAAUUAAUGUCAUAUGACAAUGACAGUUUUGUAAAUCAUCCUUUGACCUGAUUUGCCUCUGAAAGAGUUUAUGCCAAAAAUAUUUAUUCUAAUAUAGGCACAUACCGACCAUUUUUAUCCCACCCACAAGCAAUUUAUCCUCGAGUCUUAAUGUAGAAAAACUAUUUGGAAUUAGUUGGAAGUUUUGCUUGAUAAAGGAGUCUAGUUUUGACUGCUAAACCAGCCAGUCCCAGAAUCUAAUUUUUACUGUUAGUAUAAUAUAUUAUUAUAUUCUCUCUACUACUACUAUCAACAAUGUUAAUGAUGGCUACUGAUUACCUUCUGUAUUAUUAGGAAUAGGGAAUAUUUGUAAUUGUUUUCAACAAGUAGAAGCUUGAGGUCACGGAUCAACCAGUGUACUGCAAUGAAAGUGCAUUAACUCAUGGGUCAAAAUUCUCAUUUAAUAGCAAGAAGGCUCUAAAUUUUUUUUUCAGUGAAAUUUCCAUGUUUCUUUCAGAGUACUUUAUUCCUAGUAAAGGAAAACAUUUUUUAAUUAAGCAGAAGGAAUGUAAUCAUGGAAUUGUUACAUUUCUUUUAUGGAAGCUAAAAAAAUACACAGUAUAAUUAAAAAUAACAUAUGAUCAUUAAUGAAAAAGUCAUUGUCUGUCCCUGAUGCCAGAAUUCUUGCUUGACAAGAAAGAGGGAAGAAUCUGGCAUAUUAAAAGAAGCUGUUUAUUGAAAAAUAUUAAAAUAUACUAGAAGUUUCAUUUUCAUACAUUAUAUGAUUUAAUACCAUCCUACAAAAGAAAAGAAAAAAAUGUGUUUUUACCUUUUUUUGAGUCUUUAGGGUGAAGAAAGAAGGCAGGAAUUGUUUGGCAGAUAUUUUAGAUUGUUUGCUUUAAAGUUGGUUUUUGUGCUUGUUUUUAACUGAGAACUAUCAUGAAUAAGAAACAGUUGUUUCUCUGUUUUUUUUCCUGGAGGAUCCCUUUGUCUCAAGAGGACUAGAAAGGAAUCUUUCACAAAGAUUUUCUCUCAGUUGUGGUAUUGCUGAUGUCAAGCAUGCAAAAAUCGUGAGUCAGCACUCCAAAAGUCACGAGACUGCAUUUUAAAAAAAGUGAUCUUUUAAAAUAUAUGUAUGGCACUCUUUUUUGAGCCUUUAUGGUAGAUGUAUGGCAUAUUUUUAUACUUUUUAUGCAAACUGAAAUCUUAUUUUUCAAAACAAAACAGAAAAAAGAAGAAACAGAUGAGCUUUCUCAAAAAUUUGCAUGACUCCCAGAAAUGGGUGUCUGAAGAAUGUUUGAAACAUUACAAACAUUGCGACGUAAUUGCAGGUGUUGGCAACAUGGCAAUUAUUUGUGAGAACUUUGAUCUAAAUUGAGGUCAAUAAAAACAAAUGAAAAAAAUGACUGAAAGAAAAGCAAAGAAACCUUCCUUCGCAUUUCAGAAGCUUGGGCUGCUGUAAUACCAUUUGUUUAGCAGUCCUCCCAAGAAAUCCUCCAGCUCAAAUUCAGGAGAAUAGGCCUCGUGUAUUUAAGGUUAAAUAAAAAGACGUAUACACAUCUGAUUACCAGAUACAAGAUAUAGUCAGAUAAUGACGAAUAACACUUUGAUUUUGGCAAAAAAAGAAUAGGCAAACUAGUACAGACGCUGCUGUUACAAAGAUAUAAGACCUUUACCACAGUUUAAAAGACAAAGACUAUUUGAAUCUAACAACAUGGUUUCUGGCCAGAAAAAGCUACAAUUAUUUUUAAAAAUGUCACCUCAUUCACAUUCAGUGAUCACAGAAAAUGGAAACAUUUUAAGGAGUAAUUGUAAACAUCUGCUAAAGAAAAAACGAAAACAUGACUAAGACAGAAAUGAGUUGCCAACAUAAAGUAUUGUGUGAACAGAUCCACCAGAAAAACACCAUUUCUGUGGAUGGGUUCUAUUUGGAAUGUGAAAAAAUUGAUGAUUAUAAAGAAGAUCAGAAUCCACCUAAAAAACAUUUCACUUUAAGUCAGUCUGGCCGUCUACUCAAAUGUCAAGGAAUGUGGCUACACUUGCAUUUCUGCAGCAGCUUCAGCCCCUGCUGCUUCUCCUGCCGUGUUCCAACAGAAGCGUAUGCACAGGCACAGUGAACUGGACUCAAACUAAUCUAACAAUUUUAUUCCUUUCUUUUUCAGCUGGGUUAUUUUGCAACUGGAUCAGUAAGGAAAAAGUCAAUGGCAGUGCGGAUGGUGAUGAUAGCUCAUACAGGAGUGCGGCUAGCUUUCUAACCAUUGCCUUGAAAUACUGAUUUCAAACUUUGGUGCUGUAAUGACAACAUCAGUGAAGGUUGAAGAACCCAAAACGAAACCUAUUUCCCAGCUCUGGAAUCCCCACUAUUGAUAGAAGAUGAUUCCGCAUAAAGAAUACAGGUUCCUUCAACCAAGCUUCUUUUCCAGAUUGGAGAUGAAACGCACAGGUGGAGAGUCAACUGCCUAAUUGUUAUAAGGCUAAAUAUUUUUUCACUUGCUUAAGAUGUAAUAAGUCCUGGAGUGCUCUCCGCUUACACAAGAGGAUUUCAGCGCAGAGGCGUGCUCGAGAAAGGUGUUUGUGUAGAAGAGGGAAAAAUUCUGCAGGUUAAAGUCACUAAAUGAAAACCGGCUAUGUUUGGUGGGCAGUUAUUCUCUGAAGCUGACUGACAGAGGAACCCAUUUAUGAAAAAGGAAACAAUAGAAGUACAGCAUCACAACAGCAGCAGAAACCAACUCACUGGAGACGGCAGAUGAACAGAACACUAGUAGUUAUGGUUAAUAUUUAGUCAUUCUCAAUAACAGCUUGUCCCAGUGUGGGGAGGAGCUGGAAAAUACCCAUGAGUGCUCUCAUCAACUGUGGUUAGCUCAACAGAGGCCUCUGCUGAGCAAAUAGGAACUGCCUGAGACAAGCUCAAAAACAUGCCGAGCAUCUCACCUUCACAUACCUUUAUAAGGACCAUAUAGUACUCCUCUUACAGGCAAUUUUGUGAGGAAAGAAAAUUCCAAAGGGACAGAUAAGUGUGAAUAGAUCUGUCUUAUUUCUAUGGAAAAAAAAAAAAAAAUCAAGAGCUGUGCCUUAUGAAAUAAGAAUGUUCACACAUGGUUUGCAAUUAGAGAUUAUUUUAUAUAUUUUGCUGUAAUUUUGUUUAUUAAAGGUUCAAAAGUUAUUUGAGCAAUUGUACCAGAGAGAAUGUGAUUUGCAUUAAGAUUUAAAGUAUACCUUUGGAUCAUUUCAAACUGUCUUCUGUCUUUGUUUAACUGAAUAUGCCAUGCUGAAACUGAAUCAAACCAUUGAUUUAUCAGAAGUGCUUUAUUCUUCACUCUAGAUCUAUGCAGAUCUAAGCUAUAAACCAGGAAAGCAGUAAAAAGUUGCAUUUGUAAAUAUUUUAGAGAAGACUGUUGUUCUGUGGAGCUUUAUGCUGUUUUCUCUGGUGCUAUUGAGUGCUUUGUAGAAGCUCAUUUGGGAAAUGUAUUCUUUGAUUUUGGUAAUCAAUUGAUCAACAUUUGAAGCUUUUCUCAGACACACAGUUAUUGUGAAGAGCAGUACUUUCAAAUACCCAUUUGAUUGUGUUUGUGAUGUUUGCUUUAUUCGACUCUGCUCCAGGCAAAUUAAAAUGUACUGCUAUAUAAUAAGUAUGGGAAGGUUAGCAUUCACACUUUAGGGAUAAAACAUUUUGACAGUUCUAUUCUACAUUUGCAUUUAAAAAUUUUAACGCUUUUGAUUAGACCCUAUGUUUAUCGUAGGAUCUCUUGUAGGCAUUACUACUGUGAGAUUGUUACCUUUCAGGAUUUGUUCUGGACUGCUUCUCUGUGGGGAAGCACAAAAGCCUGCUGGUUCCACAUACAUCUUGUUUUCUGGUCCAUGGUAUGUCUCAUUUUCUUUAAUUUCUCAUGGGGGUCCACCUGUAUCGCUACUGCUGAGUCAUUCUCAUUUCUUUCUGAGAUUUUUUGAUGUGCAGAGUUAGGGAAAGACAUAUGCAUAGGUCUCUCUUACAUGCUUGGUAUAUUUUUCCUACUGGUCUCCAAAUUCUCAAUUUUUGGUGCACAGUAGAAUCCCCAAGGGGACAGAGGCAGACAUUGUCUGGAGAGAGACAAGAGAUAUUGCCACGACAUCCAUUAUUAUUUUAGCCAGUGGACAGGUGAUACUUAAACACAGCAUAUGCACAGACAAUGGUCAACAUUCUGAGCUCAUGAAAACCAUCACUGACACAGGCUGAUGUCUGAAGGACUGGUCACUAGAACUGUCCAUGUUAUUUGCUCCCCUUUUAUUUUAUCCUUCGUCUUUCUGUAUUAGUAACGUUCAGGAGGGAUUCAGAUAACCUGAUGGAACGUCUACAACAUUGCUAUCACCAAGAAACAUUCACUGAGGUAAUAAGGCAAAUGUACACUGUCUCAAGAGGUUUGUGUGUAAAUUAGACCCAGCGACAGAAAAAAAAUCCCAAACCAAAAAACAAACUGGCUAGAUACUUCAGACUUUUCAGAAGAGCAGAGAGAAGCAAGAAAACAUUGUAGGUUUUACCAGGAAAAUCUAUUUGAGCUGAAAUAAGGUCUUCUCCCUUAUAGUUUAGCCAGUCCCUAGAGACUUUGUGUAAUUAUUAUUAGAUUUACCUUGGGAAGGAUAUGGACUUAGGUGGAACCAGAAAUCUUGUGCGGUGAAUUCUCCGGGAACUCCUUCCUGCAUUAGGCCCCAUUACUCUGGCUCCAAAGCCCAGGAAACUCAAACACCCUCAUAGACUGCUGCUCUUUUCCAUACCUCCCUUUACUUCUGGGAGCUGUUUCUUCUGACUCAGCAAUAAAUAGCAGAGAAGAGAAGUACUCUGGGGAUUCAGACAUAUGAUAUGUACAAAGUCAUGCUUUCUGAUUGUGAAGGGGACCACAAGUAAAUCCUCCCUGUGCACCCACAUUGGGUCUUGCAUUGAAAAACAUCAAAAUCUGAAUUAUACAGAGGCUAUGCAGCACUAUGGGUAAGAACAUUGGCCUUUCACGUCUUAUUAUGUUGUUAAUUAGUUAAUGUUUGUAAAGCACUUUGAAGAUGAAAAGCCCUAUAUAAGUUCUAAGUGUUAUUAUCUCUAGAGACCUGGGUUCAAUUCAAAGGUGCUUAAUUACAUAUGCCAUAAAUUAGACUUAAUGAGUUGUGGAAUCAUAUGCUUUAUGUGAUGCAUGCAGGUUUCUCAGCUAGAUCUAGGCCUUAUGGUGUGCUGCAGUACUUCUUUAGGUAUUCAGAGCUGUUAAGAAAAAUUACACAAAAAUAGAGCAGAUAAUUUCUAAAAAUAAUUGGACUGCAUUUCAGUACUAUUUAGGACUUGGUGAAGCAAAUUACCAGGAGCUUUGCUCUGCUGUAUCUAGUGAAUUUCUAGUAACCAACUUCAAAUUGCUGAAGGUAACAUCAUUGUUUUUAAAUUGUGGUAUAGACAUGAUUCUAAUUUUUACUUCUGUCCCAUAUUUUGACUUAGCAGAAGGGAGCUGAGAGAUAUUAGUAUGACUGCUGUCCUUCCAGUGAUGCCCUGAAAUGUCCCAUCAGGGCUGGGGACCUCUUGGUGUUGGGUUAUGUUCACAAGCAUAAGAAAAGAAGUUCCCAGCUCUAGAGAUACUAUCAUAUAAUUUACAGCAAACCAUUACAAGCAGUAAGUGCAAAAAGGGGAAGUAAUGGUUAUAGGAAAAUGUGGUUUCAUCGGCUUUGCAGAGCUGAGAGUUUCCAUGUUAUGUAAGUUAUAUAUUUUGUGGCCAGAAAGCUACAGAAUUUGCCCCACUCAAGCCCAGGCAUGAGGGUGUCUGUCCAGCAAUGAGUGCAGACAGCUAGCUGCUCCUGGUUGUUCCUCAACCAGCAGUGUUCAGAGACGCAGAAAACCAGCAGGAUCGUUCUCCUGUCCUAAAGUGCCUCCCACGUGUUCCUGCAGCAGAAUAUCUCCAUUUUACCUUGGGCCUUUCACAGGCACAGAGAGAGAGGCAGGAUUUAUCCUGCGUAUAAAUAUGUUAGAAGUGAUUGUGUUCAUUAGUACAACCUAAGUAGAUUGGAAAAACUAAUUAAUAGCAAUUUACUAUAAGUGUCUCUAACAGACUUACUUGAAAGUAUUUAUCCUGAAGUGAAAGUCAUUUGAUUUCAUUAAUGUUUAUUGUAAGCAUAUGCAGGCUAUCUUCCAGGGGAAAAUGUAUUUUUGAGUACUCCAGACAAUUGAAACUAGUGAGCCCACUGUCUGGAGAAAGCAUCUGUAACCACAGCCAAAAGAGGAACGAGAUUUCCGACAUUCUUUCAAGACAUGUGUUUGAAGCAUGGGUUCCCACCACUUUCAGAGUGACUUGCAGGCCAUUUUCUUUAUAUAGAUUUAGACAAGUCAAUGUGGUCCUAGAUUCAUCUUGAUAAAUGCCUUUGUGAUUUCUCCCUUGUCCGUUUUCUCCUGUGUUAUUCUAUUGCUUAUUUCAAAUAGGACUAUGUUCUCAAGAAACUUUAAAUGGGACAAAGCAUAGUUUUGGACUGUUUUUUGCCACUCACAUUUCUGUACUUCUAAGAAAUGAAUCUAGUCUUAGACCUUAAUUACUGGGGUGCAUCUCCUUCAAAAACAAGAUCAGUUUUGUUGAAUACUUUUCAAAUACUCUAAUAAAUAAGAACUUCACAUGAAUGCUGAUUUGAGUUCCAGGCUGUGGUUAAAUGUUUUAAUAGUGUAGCAAACUUAUCAGCAAACCUUUCCUUCCCCACCCUACCCCCUUCCCUUUUUACAAUGAACAGAUUUUUAUCCGACCGGCUCGUGACUUGGGGAUUUUUACAAGCAGGUUUGGGAACUUGUCCAAUAUUUUGAAAUUUGAGCCUGAAAACAACAACAAAAUCUUUGAAAAAUGGUGUUUUAAAUAGUGUGUAUCAACUGGAUAAAAUUUUGACUUGCUGAAGUACACACAGGAUUCUGUUGUCUGAGCUAACUAUCUCAACUGGAAGUUACCCAUCUGAUUCCUUUUUUUAAUACUCCAAGACACCAUAUAUACUAGCAUAACUCCAUUGAGGUACCAAAUCAAUGGAGCUGUAAGACCCUCUUCAUUUCUGAACUACUAUAGCCUUUUGUCAAAAGGCGGUAAGUAUAUUCACAUUGUUAUUAUUUCAUCUGGGCAUUUUAAGUCUGUCUCUUUUC
Molecule: long non-coding RNA, 8009 nt
Organism: Harpia harpyja (harpy eagle)
Lineage: Eukaryota; Metazoa; Chordata; Aves; Accipitriformes; Accipitridae
Exons: 4
Source: RefSeq, a predicted model, not a curated record